UCUUUCUCUCUCUUGCCUAGGAACUGUCAAAAUGGUUAAUUUGUUAUUUUAAGAUAUAUUUAUCAUAUUAAGUAACUCAGUUUAUUACAGGUGAGAUUUCCUUCAGUAACCUGCUUUUUUUCCCAUCAAAAUACCCCCAUUUGUUUGUAAAAUAUCAAUUAUGGGGUAUGGCUUGGGACCCUUUUUCUGAAGAAAUUACCAGUAUUAUUGGUUAUCAGUUGGAUUUUCUUCAUCGUGAACUAUGAAGGCUAGAAUGAGAACAUGUUCCUGUGUUAAGCAACCUCAUACAGAUUCAGAUUCAGUUUUAUAUUCUUAGUUUAGUUAAAAUUUUCCUUCGCUCUGAAGCAUAGGGUAAAAUGGAGUUUUGUUAAUUUGAACUUAAAUUUGAAUUGUUUUAAGUGGAUCUCAAUUAAUUAUUAUGUUUUGUUUCAUAUUUUAUU
Molecule: long non-coding RNA, 440 nt
Organism: Daphnia pulicaria
Lineage: Eukaryota; Metazoa; Arthropoda; Branchiopoda; Diplostraca; Daphniidae
Exons: 3
Source: RefSeq, a predicted model, not a curated record